Molecule: transfer RNA, 114 nt
Filed under: Takifugu rubripes (torafugu)
Lineage: Eukaryota; Metazoa; Chordata; Actinopteri; Tetraodontiformes; Tetraodontidae
Also listed under: 3 other names
Rfam family: tRNA
About the family: Transfer RNA (tRNA) molecules are approximately 80 nucleotides in length. Their secondary structure includes four short double-helical elements and three loops (D, anti-codon, and T loops).
Source: Rfam by way of RNAcentral
GUCAGGAUGGCCGAGCGGUCUAAGGCGCCAGACUCAAGGAUGAUAUCCUUCCUAUCAUGAACCGGGAAUUCUGGUCUCCGAAUGGAGGCGUGGGUUCAAAUCCCACUCCUGACA